Transfer RNA from Felis catus (domestic cat), 85 nucleotides. It matches the Rfam family "tRNA". From Rfam's summary of the family: Transfer RNA (tRNA) molecules are approximately 80 nucleotides in length. Their secondary structure includes four short double-helical elements and three loops (D, anti-codon, and T loops). The record is from Rfam. Lineage: Eukaryota; Metazoa; Chordata; Mammalia; Carnivora; Felidae.
GCCUGGGUGGCUCAGUUGGUUGAGCAUCCGACCUCGGCUCAGGUCAUGAUCUCACAGUUCGUGGGUUCGAGUCCCGCGUCGGGCU